Molecule: ribosomal RNA, 494 nt
Filed under: uncultured bacterium
Lineage: Bacteria
Description: partial 16S ribosomal RNA
Rfam family: Bacterial small subunit ribosomal RNA
Source: RNAcentral
GACGAACGCUGGCGGCGUGCUUAACACAUGCAAGUCGAACGGAAAGGCCUGCUUUCCCUUGUGGAUUGCGGGUACUCGAGUGGCGAACGGGUGAGUAACACGUGAGUGAUCUGCCCCCAACUUGGGUAUAAGCCUGGGAAACUGGGUCUAAUUCCCGAUAGGACUGCAGGGUGGUGCCUGUGGUGGAAAACGAUUUUCUAGUGGUUGGGGAUGAGCUCGCGGCCUAUCAGCUUGUUGGUGGGGUAAUGGCCUACCAAGGCGGCGACGGGUAGCCGGCCUGAGAGGGUGGACGGCCACAUUGGGACUGAGAUACGGCCCAGACUCCGACGGGAGGCAGCAGUGGGGAAUAUUGCACGAUGGGCGGAAGCCUGAUGCAGCGACGCCGCGUGGGGGAUGACGGCCUUCGGGUUGUAAACUCCUUUCGACCGCGAGGAAGCCACCUGGUUGGAAGGGUGGUGACGGUAGUGGUAGAAGAAGCACCGGCUAACUACGUG